GGCGUAGCUCAGUGGUAGAGGAGCUGCUUAGCAUGCAGAGGGUCGCCGGUUCAAUUCCUGGCAUCUCCA
Non-coding RNA from Podarcis lilfordi (Lilford's wall lizard), 69 nucleotides. Lineage: Eukaryota; Metazoa; Chordata; Lepidosauria; Squamata; Lacertidae. The record is from the annotation of a GenBank genome assembly.